GGGCUCGUGGUUUAGUGGUAUAAUACUCCCUUAGCAUCGUUAUCUCGAUUGGGAGUGGUCCGGGGUUCGAUUCCCCGCGAGUCCA
This 85-nucleotide transfer RNA is filed under the name Didymella pomorum. RNAcentral's name for it is "Peyronellaea pomorum tRNA". It matches the Rfam family "tRNA". From Rfam's summary of the family: Transfer RNA (tRNA) molecules are approximately 80 nucleotides in length. Their secondary structure includes four short double-helical elements and three loops (D, anti-codon, and T loops). Further hydrogen bonds mediate the characteristic L-shaped molecular structure. tRNAs have two regions of fundamental functional importance: the anti-codon, which is responsible for specific mRNA codon recognition, and the 3' end, to which the tRNAs corresponding amino acid is attached (by aminoacyl-tRNA synthetases). tRNAs cope with the degeneracy of the genetic code in two manners: having more than one tRNA (with a specific anti-codon) for a particular amino acid; and 'wobble' base-pairing, i.e. permitting non-standard base-pairing at the 3rd anti-codon position. Lineage: Eukaryota; Fungi; Ascomycota; Dothideomycetes; Pleosporales; Didymellaceae. The record is from Rfam by way of RNAcentral.